GGACUACCAGGGUAUCUAAUCCCGUUCGCUCCCCUGGCUUUCGCGCCUCAGCGUCAGGAGGGGUCCAGCGCGCCGCUUUCGCCGCCGGCGUUCCUUCCGAUAUCUACGCAUUUCACCGCUCCACCGGAAGUUCCGCGCGCCCCUACCCCCCUCGAGCCAGUCAGUAUCGGGGGCGCUUUUCCGGUUGGGCCGAAAGAUUUCACCCCCGACUUGACUAGCCGCCUACGCGCCCUUUAAGCCCAGUGAAUCCGAACAACGUUCGCACGGUUCGUCUUACCGCGGCUGCUGGCAC
This 292-nucleotide ribosomal RNA is filed under the name uncultured bacterium. RNAcentral's name for it is "partial 16S ribosomal RNA". RNAcentral also lists the same sequence under 1 other name. The record is from RNAcentral.